UGUACUGACAUGAGUUUCAACACUAUGGAGUUUUUCAGCCUUCAAACUAUAUUUUCCAGGUCAUAUUUUGGUGGAACAACAACUCAAAAUAGAUUCAGUUCCACUUUGGUCAUCACUCCAGAGCGUCUGUAUCACCUGUAGGGGUUGUAACUCCUACAGAAAAAGAACUACAGAACUGGACUGCUUUACGGCAUACGUCACG
Molecule: long non-coding RNA, 202 nt
Organism: Sphaeramia orbicularis (orbiculate cardinalfish)
Lineage: Eukaryota; Metazoa; Chordata; Actinopteri; Kurtiformes; Apogonidae
Exons: 3
Source: RefSeq, a predicted model, not a curated record